ACCGGCGCACGGGUGCGUAACGCGUAUAGACCUACCUUUUACAGAGGGAUAGCCUUUAGAAAUGAAGAUUAAUACCUUAUGGUUUCGCAUGAAUAAAGAUUUAUCGGUAAAAGAUGGCUAUGCGUCCUAUUAGCUAGAUGGUAAGGUAACGGCUUACCAUGGCGACGAUAGGUAGGGGUCCUGAGAGGGAGAUCCCCCACACUGGUACUGAGACACGGACCAGACUCCUACGGGAGGCAGCAGUGAGGAAUAUUGGGCAAUGGAGGCAACUCUGACCCAGCCAUGCCGCGUGCAGGAAGAAGGCCUAUGGGUUGUAAACUGCUUUUAUACAGGAAGAAACACUCGUACGUGUACGAGCUUGACGGUACUGUAAGAAUAAGCACCGGCUAACUCCGUGCCAGCAGCCGCGGUAAUACGGAGGGUGCAAGCGUUAUCCGGAAUCAUUGGGUUUAAAGGGUCCGCAGGCGGUCAAUUAAGUCAGAGGUGAAAUCCCAUAGCUCAACUAUGGAACUGCCUUUGAUACUGGUUGACUUGAGUCAUAUGGAAGUAGAUAGAAUGUGUAGUGUAGCGGUGAAAUGCAUAGAUAUUACACAGAAUACCGAUUGCGAAGGCAGUCUACUACGUAUGUACUGACGCUGAGGGACGACGCUGGGAGCGACAGUAUAGAAUACCCUGGUAGUUCAAG
This 685-nucleotide ribosomal RNA is filed under the name uncultured bacterium. RNAcentral describes it as "bacterial SSU rRNA". It matches the Rfam family "Bacterial small subunit ribosomal RNA", at positions 94 to 799 of the family's 1533-position model. The record is from RNAcentral.